CUCCAGAUAUGGAGACAUGGUGCCCAAGACCAUCGCAGGGAAGAUCUUCGGUUCCAUCUGCUCUCUGAGUGGCGUCUUGGUCAUCGCCUUGCCCGUUCCUGUCAUUGUCUCCAAC
Non-coding RNA from Sarcophilus harrisii (Tasmanian devil), 115 nucleotides. NCBI's taxonomy places the organism in Eukaryota, Metazoa, Chordata, Mammalia, Dasyuromorphia, Dasyuridae. The record is from Rfam.